UAGACGAAGACCGUACGGAUAAGCACAUCGAAAACAGAACUGCAGAAGAACAUCAGGAGUAUCUGGCAAAUCAAGUCGUCUAUCCGUAAUAUUUUAGGCGCUUAUUCGUCGGUGAGAGACGGGCCUCGUUUGCUUAGUUCGGUAAUAUGUCAAAUUACGAAUGUCGCUAUUUAUCAACCAGUCACCAGCAUCAAUGUGGUUUCAGUACAACACUGCAAUGUAGCAAGUAUACAUGAAAUGGAAAUAAGGGGAAAUUGUUUUAAUAAUAAUAUAUUUUAAAGGCCGCA
Molecule: long non-coding RNA, 287 nt
Organism: Varroa destructor (honeybee mite)
Lineage: Eukaryota; Metazoa; Arthropoda; Arachnida; Mesostigmata; Varroidae
Source: RefSeq, a predicted model, not a curated record